This is a non-coding RNA of Chelonia mydas (Green sea turtle), 72 nucleotides long. Lineage: Eukaryota; Metazoa; Chordata; Testudines; Cheloniidae. The record is from Rfam.
GGCAGAGUGGCCCAGUGGGUAGGGUGCUGGAUUGGGACGCAGGAGACCUGGGUUCUGUUCCCUGCUCUGACG